AUGGAUAGGCAAGGCAUUUCCUCUCCGGUCUACGACAACAAUGACGGCGUGAACAACUACAUCUCAAAAGCGUCAAUCUUCGAUCUACAACGACAAAUGCAAGGCGCACAAUCAAGAUUGCAAGAGCGCAUUGAGAUCAUCUCCAUCGACAUUUUCCACUCCGAAGUAAGAAAAAGGGACUACAUCGACAACAAGCUUGCCACACAAAAGGAGGAGCAAGAUGCGAGGAUGGAAGAGAUUCGGGCCUUGAUCAAGUCUUCUUCCACUUCAUCAUCAUCAAGACGACGACGGUCAAGCCACAAGUCCUGA
Molecule: ribosomal RNA, 309 nt
Filed under: Triticum aestivum (bread wheat)
Lineage: Eukaryota; Viridiplantae; Streptophyta; Magnoliopsida; Poales; Poaceae
Description: partial small subunit ribosomal RNA
Source: RNAcentral